This 256-nucleotide ribosomal RNA is filed under the name Ostomopsis sp. CO914. Its description in RNAcentral is "partial 12S ribosomal RNA". Lineage: Eukaryota; Metazoa; Arthropoda; Insecta; Coleoptera; Cerylonidae. The record is from RNAcentral.
UAGUUAUGUUCUUGAAAAUUAAAAAUUUUGGCGGUAUUUUAGUCUUUUCAGAGGAACCUGUUCUGUAAUUGAUAUUCCACGUUUUAUUUUACUUAUUUUAAAAAUUUACAUAUCGUUGUAGUUAAAUAUUUUAUAAGAAUAGGAAUAUUUAAAAAUCUUAAAWAAGAAACAAAUCAAAUCARGGKGUAGUUUAUAGAUAAGAAGAAAKGGGUUACAAUAAUAAAAUUUAUAUGGAUUUUUUUUUGCAAUAUAAAAA